Molecule: non-coding RNA, 210 nt
Organism: Schizosaccharomyces pombe (fission yeast)
Lineage: Eukaryota; Fungi; Ascomycota; Schizosaccharomycetes; Schizosaccharomycetales; Schizosaccharomycetaceae
Source: the annotation of a GenBank genome assembly
GAAUUGGAAAUACUUAUUUAAAGCAUCAUGUUUUUUCGUCGAUAACCAAAGAACGGAUACACAGUAAGAGAACUGGCAAGAAAUCCAAUUGCAAUUCCAAUGGCAAUUUCAACCAUUGUAAAACCAAAUUCAAGACUGCUGUUCUGGGAAUUUUCUGUUGUAACAGUAGUAGUAUUUGUAGUUGUAUUUUUGCUGGUAAUUUGGCUAGCU